ACGCUGGCGGCGUGCCUAACACAUGCAAGUCAACUUGACUGAAGGAGCAAUCUGACAGUAGAGUGGCGCAAGGGUGCGUAACGCGUAAGUAACUUGCCCCAAGGUAAGGAAUAACGUCGAGAAAUCGGCGCUAAUACCUCAUAAUGCAGCGGAUCCGCAUGGAUAUGUUGUUAAAGGUUUACCGCCUUGGGAUAGGCUUGCGUCUGAUUAGUUAGUUGGUGUGGUAACGGCACACCAAGGCUACGAUCAGUAACUGGUCUGAGAGGAUGAUCAGUCACACUGGAACUGAGACACGGCCCAGACUCCUACGGGAGGCAGCAGUGAGGAAUAUUGGGCAAUGCUCGAAAGAGUGACCCAGCAACGCCGCGUGGAGGAUGAAGGUAUUCUAUAUCGUAAACUCCUGUGAGAGCAGACGAAAGACAGAUUAUUAAUCUGGAUGACUGUAUGCUCAGAGGAAGCCCCGGCUAACUACGUG
RNAcentral lists this ribosomal RNA (475 nucleotides) under uncultured bacterium. RNAcentral describes it as "bacterial SSU rRNA". It matches the Rfam family "Bacterial small subunit ribosomal RNA", at positions 33 to 507 of the family's 1533-position model. The record is from RNAcentral.